RNAcentral lists this long non-coding RNA (235 nucleotides) under Elaeis guineensis (African oil palm). Its description in RNAcentral is "long non-coding RNA (EGUI_LNC062624)". Lineage: Eukaryota; Viridiplantae; Streptophyta; Magnoliopsida; Arecales; Arecaceae. The record is from RNAcentral.
UAGUAUCCCAUGAUUUUCUUAGGAUAUCCUGUAAAAUGAACCCUAAAGGAUCUAUCCUUUAACUUGUCCACCUAUUGUCGCUUGACAUGGGUCGAACAUCUCCAAAUCUUGAGAUAUCCAAGAGUUGACUUCUUACCAUGUCAUAAUUUAUAUCGUGUGGUAGGAACAGAUUUAGAGGAAAUUCAAUUCAAAAGAUGAAUCGCAAUAAGCAAAGCAUGUCCCUAGAGGAAGUCAG